GAUGAAGAACGUAGCGAAAUGCGAUACUUGGUGUGAAUUGCAGAAUCCCAUGAACCAUCGAGUCUUUGAACGCAAGUUGCGCCCGAAGCCAUUAGGCCGAGGGCACGCCUGCCUGGGCGUCACACGUCGUUGCCCCCCCAUCUACUCCUUCGGGAUUGCGGGGGGCGGAUGAUGGCCUCCCGUGCGCCUCGUCGCGCGGUUGGCAUAAAUGCCAAGUCCUCGGCGACGCACGCCACGACAAUCGGUGGUUGCGAAACCUCGGUUGCCCGUCGUGUGCGGUCGUCGCGCAUCGAGGGCUCGAAAAAAUUGCCGGGCUCCGGCUCGGCUUUCAACGCGACCCCAGGUCAGGCGGGGUUACCCGCUGAAUUUAAGCAUAUCAAUAAGCGGAGGA
Molecule: unclassified non-coding RNA, 391 nt
Filed under: soil metagenome
Description: partial contains 5.8S ribosomal RNA, internal transcribed spacer 2, and large subunit ribosomal RNA
Rfam family: 5.8S ribosomal RNA (bases 1-122)
Source: RNAcentral